Molecule: ribosomal RNA, 263 nt
Filed under: uncultured bacterium
Lineage: Bacteria
Description: partial 16S ribosomal RNA
Rfam family: Bacterial small subunit ribosomal RNA
Source: RNAcentral
CCUACGGGGCGCAGCAGUGGGGAAUUUUGGACAAUGGGCGCAAGCCUGAUCCAGCUAUUCCGCGUGUGGGAUGAAGGCCCUCGGAUUGUAAACUUCUGUUCUUAGUGAAGAAAAAUGACGGUAGCUAAGGAGCGAGCCACGGCUAACUACGUGCCAGCAGCCGCGGUAAUACGUAGGUGGCAAGCGUUGUCCGGAAUUACUGGGUGUAAAGGGAGCGCAGGCGGGGAGCCAAGUCAGCUGUGAAAACUACGGGCUUAACUUGU